CCGGUGAACUGAAAUAUCUAAGUAACCGGAGGAAAGGACAUCAACCGAGACUCUGUGAGUAGUGACGAGCGAAAGCGGACCAGGCCAGUGGCCAUUUAGAAGAUAACCAGAAGCGUCUGGAAAGGCGCGCCAGAGUGGGUGAUAGCCCCGUAUGGGUAGUGCUUCUUUAUGGUCCUUGAGUAGGGCGGGACACGAGAAAUCCUGUUUGAACAUGGGGGGACCACCCUCCAAGCCUAAGUACUCCUCAACAACCGAUAGCGAACAAGUACCGUGAGGGAAAGGUGAAAAGCACCCCGAUAAGGGGAGUGAAAGAGACCUGAAACCGAAUGCCUACAAACAGUCGGAGCCGCAUAGGCGGUGACGGCGUACCUUUUGUAUAAUGGGUCAGCGAGUUACUUUGACAAGCAAGCCUAAGCCGAUAGGCGUAAGCGCAGCGAAAGCGAGUCUGAAUAGGGCGAAUUAGUUUGUUUGAGUAGACCCGAAACCGGGUGAUCUAGCCAUGGGCAGGUUGAAGAUGCGGUAACACGCAUUGGAGGACCGAACCCACGCCUGUUGAAAUAGGCGGGGAUGACCUGUGGCUAGGGGUGAAAGGCCAAUCAAACCCGGAGAUAGCUGGUUCUUUGCGAAAACUAUUUAGGUAGUGCGUCAGUUAUAACUGUCGGGGGUAGAGCACUGGAUGGGCUAGGGGGGCGCGAGCCUUACCAAACCUAACCAAACUCCGAAUACCGACAAGUUGAGACUGGCAGACAGUCCAUGGGUGCUAAGGUCCGUGGACGA
Molecule: ribosomal RNA, 777 nt
Filed under: uncultured bacterium
Lineage: Bacteria
Description: bacterial LSU rRNA
Rfam family: Bacterial large subunit ribosomal RNA
Source: RNAcentral